CAAGUCGAACGGGACUCUUCGGAGUCUAGUGGCGGACGGGUGAGUAACGCGUGAGAAUCUGCCUAGAGGAUGGGGACAACCACGGGAAACUGUGGCUAAUACCCAAUGAGCGGAGACGUCAAAGAUUUAUCGCCUCUAGAGGAGCUCGCGUCUGAUUAGCUAGUUGGUGGGGUAAAAGCCUACCAAGGCGACGAUCAGUAGCUGGUCUGAGAGGACAACCAGCCACACUGGGACUGAGACACGGCCCAGACUCCUACGGGAGGCAGCAGUGGGGAAUUUUCCGCAAUGGGCGAAAGCCUGACGGAGCAAUACCGCGUGAGGGAGGAAGGCUCUUGGGUCGUAAACCUCUUUUCUCAGGGAAGAAGAAAGUGACGGUACCUGAGGAAUCAGCCUCGGCUAACUCCGUGCCAGCAGCCGCGGUAAUACGGAGGAGGCAAGCGUUAUCCGGAAUUAUUGGGCGUAAAGCGUCCGUAGGUGGCUCUUCAAGUCUGCUGUCAAAGAGCGGGGCUUAACCCUGCAAAGGCAGUGGAAACUGAAAGGCUAGAGAGCCGUAGGGGUAGAGGGAAUUCCCGGUGUAGCGGUGAAAUGCGUAGAGAUCGGGAAGAACAUCGGUGGCGAAAGCGCUCUACUGGACGGUAUCUGACACUGAGGGACGAAAGCUAGGGGAGCGAAUGGGAUUAGAUACCCCAGUAGUCCUAGCCGUAAACGAUGGAUACUAGGCGUGGCUUGUAUCGACCCCGAGCCGUG
Molecule: ribosomal RNA, 747 nt
Filed under: uncultured bacterium
Lineage: Bacteria
Description: bacterial SSU rRNA
Rfam family: Bacterial small subunit ribosomal RNA
Source: RNAcentral